AGCGAACGCUGGCGGCAGGCUUAACACAUGCAAGUCGAGCGGGCGUAGCAAUACGUCAGCGGCAGACGGGUGAGUAACGCGUGGGAACAUACCUUUUGGUUCGGAACAACACAGGGAAACUUGUGCUAAUACCGGAUAAGCCCUUACGGGGAAAGAUUUAUCGCCGAAAGAUUGGCCCGCGUCUGAUUAGCUAGUUGGUGUGGUAACGGCGCACCAAGGCGACGAUCAGUAGCUGGUCUGAGAGGAUGAUCAGCCACAUUGGGACUGAGACACGGCCCAAACUCCUACGGGAGGCAGCAGUGGGGAAUAUUGGACAAUGGGCGCAAGCCUGAUCCAGCCAUGCCGCGUGAGUGAUGAGGGCCCUAGGGUUGUAAAGCUCUUUUGUGCGGGAAGAUAAUGACGGUACCGCAAGAAUAAGCCCCCGGCUAACUUCGUGCCAGCCGCCGCGGU
Molecule: ribosomal RNA, 450 nt
Filed under: uncultured bacterium
Lineage: Bacteria
Description: bacterial SSU rRNA
Rfam family: Bacterial small subunit ribosomal RNA
Source: RNAcentral